Molecule: ribosomal RNA, 371 nt
Filed under: uncultured bacterium
Lineage: Bacteria
Description: bacterial SSU rRNA
Rfam family: Bacterial small subunit ribosomal RNA
Source: RNAcentral
GGGGGGGGCUAGCGUUGUUCGGAAUUACUGGGCGUAAAGGGCGCGUAGGCGGUCUGCUAAGUUGGAUGUGAAAACUCUGGGCUUAACCCAGAGCCUGCAUUCAAAACUGACAGGCUAGAGUUCUGGAGGGGAUAGCGGAAUUCCUGGUGUAGCGGUGAAAUGCGUAGAUAUCAGGAGGAACACCGGUGGCGAAGGCGGCUAUCUGGACAGAAACUGACGCUGAGGCGCGAAAGCUAGGGGAGCAAACAGGAUUAGAUACCCUGGUAGUCCUAGCCCUAAACGAUGGAUACUUGGUGUGACUGGGAUUGAAUCCAGUCGUGCCGAAGCUAACGCAUUAAGUAUCCCGCCUGGGGAGUACGGUCGCAAGGCUG